RNAcentral lists this transfer-messenger RNA (121 nucleotides) under Limnohabitans sp. Its description in RNAcentral is "partial transfer-messenger RNA". It matches the Rfam family "transfer-messenger RNA", at positions 253 to 374 of the family's 374-position model. Rfam says of the family: Bacterial tmRNA, also known as 10Sa RNA or SsrA, is named for its dual tRNA and mRNA-like properties. Its role is to liberate the mRNA from a stalled ribosome. The record is from RNAcentral. Lineage: Bacteria; Pseudomonadati; Pseudomonadota; Betaproteobacteria; Burkholderiales; Comamonadaceae.
GCUGGGUGUUCAGCGUGUCGCUGCGCGGUUCAUUUGGCGAGACUCAAAUCAGACGACUACACAUGUAGAACUGUACGAAAAAGACUUAUGGACGGGGGUUCAAAUCCCCCCAGCUCCACCA